AGAGUUUGAUCCUGGCUCAGGAUGAACGCUGACAGAAUGCUUAACACAUGCAAGUCAACUUGAACUUCGGUUUGGGUGGCGGACGGGUGAGUAACGCGUAAAGAACUUGCCUCACAGAUAGGGACAACAUUUGGAAACGAAUGCUAAUACCUGAUAUUAUGAUUUUAGGGCAUCCUAGGAUUAUGAAAGCUAUAUGCGCUGUGAGAGAGCUUUGCGUCCCAUUAGCUAGUUGGAGAGGUAACGGCUCACCAAGGCGAUGAUGGGUAGCCGGCCUGAGAGGGUGAUCGGCCACAAGGGGACUGAGACACGGCCCUUACUCCUACGGGAGGCAGCAGUGGGGAAUAUUGGACAAUGGACCAAGAGUCUGAUCCAGCAAUUCUGUGUGCACGAUGAAGUUUUUCGGAAUGUAAAGUGCUUUCAGUUGGGAAGAAAAAAAUGACGGUACCAACAGAAGAAGUGACGGCUAAAUACGUGCCAGCAGCCGCGGU
Molecule: ribosomal RNA, 488 nt
Filed under: uncultured bacterium
Lineage: Bacteria
Description: bacterial SSU rRNA
Rfam family: Bacterial small subunit ribosomal RNA
Source: RNAcentral